GAUGAACGCUGGCGGCGUGCCUAAUACAUGCAAGUCGAGCGAACAGACGAGGAGCUUGCUCCUCUGACGUUAGCGGUGGACGGGUGAGUAACACGUGGAUAACCUACCUCUAAGACUGGGAUAACUUCGGGAAACCGGAGCUAAUACCGGAUAAUAUAUUGAACCGCAUGGUUCAAUAGUGAAAGACGGUUUUGCUGUCACUUAUAGAUGGAUCCGCGCCGCAUUAGCUAGUUGGUAAGGUAACGGCUUACCAAGGCAACGAUGCGUAGCCGACCUGAGAGGGUGAUCGGACACACUGGAACGGAGACACGGUCCAGACUCCUACGGGAGGCAGCAGUAGGGAAUCGUCCGCAAUGGGCGAAAGCCUGACGGAGCAACGCCGCGUGAAUGAUGAAGGUCUUCGGAUCGUAAAACUCUGUUAUUAGGGAAGAACAAAUGUGUAAGUAACUAUGCACGUCUUGACGGUACCUAAUCAGAAAGCCACGGCUAACUACGUG
This 497-nucleotide ribosomal RNA is filed under the name uncultured bacterium. RNAcentral's name for it is "partial 16S ribosomal RNA". It matches the Rfam family "Bacterial small subunit ribosomal RNA", at positions 28 to 507 of the family's 1533-position model. The record is from RNAcentral.